Drosophila novamexicana is the source of this 734-nucleotide long non-coding RNA. RefSeq lists it as uncharacterized. The transcript has 3 exons. NCBI's taxonomy places the organism in Eukaryota, Metazoa, Arthropoda, Insecta, Diptera, Drosophilidae. The record is from RefSeq and is a predicted model, not a curated record.
AGGACAGCUAACAGACAGGCAGAUGGGCCUGGGGUUGGAGGAUGUGUCCCCUCGCCCGGAUCGAGUAGUUUUCGCUUGGCAUUUAUGGGCAUUUUAUAUUCAUUUUUAGUGUGCUCCAAAAUAGUUUUCAUAAAUAGUUUAAAUGGGUGUGAGUAGAACCCAAUACAAUAUGUUGGACUCGCAGAUAGACAGGUUCCUGUCAUAAACAAAGGACAGUCGUUGCUUGUUUGGCCAAAAGUCAACAACAAAACGCGUCGACGGCGCAGCUCAAACUCAAGCUCAAGCACAUUUAUUGUUAUUCAUUAAUUUUAAUAUUUGCACAACCUGCGUGCAAUUUUGGAGCGGAAUUGAAUUGAAUUUCGAGUGGCCAGCGCCGAGAAAGGGAGAGAGGAGAGAGCGGCAGCUAAACAGCUACUAAAAUGCUACGUCUGGGCCGCACGAUAAAGCCAGAAGCCAAUGAAGCUAAGUGCGGUUAUGAACCCUUUUCGCAUUUGACUGAAACAACAAAAGGGCCAACAAUGGGUGGCAAAUGGAAUUGGAGUUGCACAAGGCGAUGGAAACGGCGCUGAAGCUGGUUGGCAUUUACCUAAUGGAGGUGGCAAGCUUUAAGAAUUUAAGCGGUAGUUCAAUAAACCCGCAUGCCAAACAAUGGCCAUGGCCAGGACUAUGCAAUUGUUCAAUUGAUGCGCGACAAACAUGCAAAGUGCUUAAACAACAAAGGAACUACAAUGUGC